Molecule: ribosomal RNA, 594 nt
Filed under: uncultured bacterium
Lineage: Bacteria
Description: bacterial SSU rRNA
Rfam family: Bacterial small subunit ribosomal RNA
Source: RNAcentral
AGAGUUUGAUCCUGGCUAGGACGAACGCUGGCGGCGUGCCUAACACAUGCAAGUCGAGCGGGCCGGUGUUGGGCGGUGAGUCUGGCACCGGUUUAGCGGCGGACGGGUGAGUAACGCGUGGAUAACCUACCCGUGAGACCGGGAUAACCCUGGGAAACUGGGGCUAAUACCGGAUAUACUCCUGCUGGGGCAUCCUGGUGGGAGGAAAGGUGCUUGUUGGUGCCGCUUACGGAUGGGUCCGCGUCCCAUUAGCUAGAUGGUGGGGUAAUGGCCUACCAUGGCUGCGAUGGGUAGCCGGCCUGAGAGGGUGACCGGCCACACUGGGACUGAGACACGGCCCAGACUCCUACGGGAGGCAGCAGUGGGGGAUCUUCCGCAAUGGGCGAAAGCCUGACGGAGCGACGCCGCGUGGGGGAUGAGGGCCUUCGGGUUGUAAACCCUUGUUCUGGGGGAAGAAGGGAGUGACGGUACUCCAGGAGGAAGCCCCGGCUAACUACGUGCCAGCAGCCGCGGUAAGACGUAGGGGGCGAGCGUUGUCCGGAAUUACUGGGCGUAAAGGGCGCGUAGGCGGCCCAGGAAGUCGGGGGUGAAAGA